This 532-nucleotide unclassified non-coding RNA is filed under the name Hevea brasiliensis (rubber tree). The record is from RNAcentral. Lineage: Eukaryota; Viridiplantae; Streptophyta; Magnoliopsida; Malpighiales; Euphorbiaceae.
GAGAAAAAGCUUGAUGUUGAUAUUGCAACUCAUAUACAUGUCAAAGAUGAUGGACCCAAGCAGAGCUUGCUUUACAUUGAGACGGCAGAUCGACCUGGAUUACUUGUUGAAAUCAUUAAAAUCAUGGCUGAUAUCAAUGUUGAUGUAGAAUCAGCAGAGAUUGAUACAGAAGGAUUGAUAGCCAAAGACAAGUUUCAUGUCAGCUACAGAGGGGCAGCCUUAAAUAGUUCAUUGUCUCAGGUGCUCGUGAACUGUCUACGUUACUACCUUAGAAGACCAGAAACAGACAUUGAUAGCUACUAAUACUUGGUGGACAUUGUGCCAAAAUGUUCUUUGUACCAAAAUGCAAUUGAGCCUAAAUUCAUCUGCUAAGUUGUAUGUAUGUCUCUAAUAUCCUGAGAGAUAAUGUUCUUAACUGUAAUCUGAUGCUUGUGGAACCCUCAAACUAAUAAUUUCUGCCUUGUUAUUACUCCUAUACAUUCAAGGGUAUACAUUUCACAAAUAUGAUUAGUUUGAGGGUUCCACAAGCAUC